UAGGGAAUCUUCGGCAAUGGACGAAAGUCUGACCGAGCAACGCCGCGUGAGUGAAGAAGGUUUUCGGAUCGUAAAACUCUGUUGUUAGAUAAGAACAAGGACGUUAGUAACUGAACGUCCCCUGACGGUAUCUAACCAGAAAGCCACGGCUAACUACUUGCCAGCAGCCGCGGUAAUACGUAGGUGGCAAGCGUUGUCCGGAUGUAUUGGGCGUAAAGCGAGCGCAGGCGGUUUCUUAAGUCUGAUGUGAAAGGCCCCGGCUCAACCGGGGAGGGUAAUUGGAAACUGGGAGACUUGAGUGCAGAAGAGGAGAGUGGAAUUCCAUGUGUAGCGGUGAAAUGCGUAGAUAUAUGGAGGAACAACAGUGGCGAAGGCGGCUCUCUGGUCUGUAACUGACGCUGAGGCUAGAAAGCGUGGGGAGCAAACAGG
This 429-nucleotide ribosomal RNA is filed under the name Gemmatimonadota bacterium. RNAcentral's name for it is "Gemmatimonadetes bacterium partial 16S ribosomal RNA". It matches the Rfam family "Bacterial small subunit ribosomal RNA", at positions 355 to 776 of the family's 1533-position model. The record is from RNAcentral. Lineage: Bacteria; Pseudomonadati; Gemmatimonadota.